UGGGGAAUAUUGGACAAUGGGGGAAACCCUGAUCCAGCAAUGCCGCGUGUGUGAUGAAGGCCUUCGGGUUGUAAAGCACUUUUGUCAGGGACGAUGAUGACGGUACCUGACGAAUAAGCUCCGGCUAACUUCGUGCCAGCAGCCGCGGUAAUACGAGGGGAGCUAGCGUUGUUCGGAAUUACUGGGCGUAAAGGGCGUGUAGGCGGUACCAUAAGUCAGAUGUGAAAGCCCUAGGCUUAACCUAGGAGGUGCAUUUGAUACUGUGGAACUAGAGAUCUAGAGAGGAAAGUGGAAUUACGAGUGUAGAGGUGAAAUUCGUAGAUAUUCGUAAGAACACCAGUGGCGAAGGCGACUUUCUGGCUAGAUACUGACGCUAAGGCGCGAAAGCGUGGGGAGCAAACAGG
Molecule: ribosomal RNA, 404 nt
Filed under: uncultured Rickettsiales bacterium
Lineage: Bacteria; Pseudomonadati; Pseudomonadota; Alphaproteobacteria; Rickettsiales
Description: bacterial SSU rRNA
Rfam family: Bacterial small subunit ribosomal RNA
Source: RNAcentral